Molecule: ribosomal RNA, 460 nt
Filed under: uncultured bacterium
Lineage: Bacteria
Description: partial 16S ribosomal RNA
Rfam family: Bacterial small subunit ribosomal RNA
Source: RNAcentral
CCUACGGGUGGCAGCAGUGAGGAAUAUUGGUCAAUGGACGAGAGUCUGAACCAGCCAAGUAGCGUGAAGGAUGACUGCCCUAUGGGUUGUAAACUUCUUUUAUAAAUGAAUAAAACGAGGCACGUGUGCCUUUUUGCAUGUACUUUAUGAAUAAGGAUCGGCUAACUCCGUGCCAGCAGCCGCGGUAAUACGGAGGAUCCGAGCGUUAUCCGGAUUUAUUGGGUUUAAAGGGAGCGUAGAUGGGUUGUUAAGUCAGUUGUGAAAGUUUGCGGCUCAACCGUAAAAUUGCAAUUGAUACUGGCAGUCGUGAGUACAGUUGAGGUAAGCGGAAUUCGUGGUGUAGCGGUGAAAUGCUUAGAUAUCACGAAGAACCCCGAUUGCGAAGGCAGCUUACUAAACUGUGACUGACAUUGAUGCUCGAAAGUGUGGGUAUCAAACAGGAUUAGAUACCCCUGUAGUC